GUCUAAGGCCAUAUUACCCUGAAUGCACCCAAUCUUGACUGGUCUUGAAAGCUAAGCAGGGUCGGGCCUGGUUAGUACUUGGAUGGAAGACAGAUCUUCAGCAGAGACU
Molecule: ribosomal RNA, 109 nt
Filed under: Castor canadensis (American beaver)
Lineage: Eukaryota; Metazoa; Chordata; Mammalia; Rodentia; Castoridae
Source: RNAcentral